AGAGUUUGAUCCUGGCUCAGGAUGAACGCUAGCGGCAGGCUUAAUACAUGCAAGUCGAGGGGCAGCACGAAUAGCAAUAUUUGGUGGCGACCGGCAAACGGGUGCGGAACACGUACAGAACCUUCCUUUAAGUGGGGAAUAGCCCAGAGAAAUUUGGAUUAAUACCCCGUAACAUUAUGAAGUGGCAUCACCUUAUAAUUAUAGAUUUAUCGCUUAGAGAUGGCUGUGCGGCUGAUUAGGUAGUUGGUAAGGUAACGGCUUACCAAGCCUGCGAUCAGUAACUGGUGUGAGAGCACGACCAGUCACACGGGCACUGAGACACGGGCCCGACUCCUACGGGAGGCAGCAGUAAGGAAUAUUGGUCAAUGGACGAAAGUCUGAACCAGCCAUGCCGCGUGAAGGAUGAAGGUCCUCUGGAUUGUAAACUUCUUUUAUCUGGGACGAAACACUCUUAUUCUUAAGAGCUUGACGGUACCAGAGGAAUAAGCACCGGCUAACUCCGUGCCAGCAGCCGCGGUAAUACGGAGGGUGCAAGCGUUAUCCGGAUUCACUGGGUUUAAAGGGUGCGUAGGUGGGUCUGUAAGUCAGUGGUGAAAUCUUCGAGCUUAACUCGGAAACUGCCAUUGAUACUAUAGCUCUUGAAUUUUCUGGAGGUAAGCGGAAUAUGUCAUGUAGCGGUGAAAUGCUUAGAUAUGACAUAGAACACCAAUUGCGAAGGCAGCUUACUACGGGAACAUUGACACUGAGGCACGAAAGCGUGGGGAUCAAACAGGAUUAGAUACCCUGGUAGUCC
RNAcentral lists this ribosomal RNA (793 nucleotides) under uncultured bacterium. Its description in RNAcentral is "bacterial SSU rRNA". It matches the Rfam family "Bacterial small subunit ribosomal RNA", at positions 8 to 796 of the family's 1533-position model. The record is from RNAcentral.